Long non-coding RNA from Mya arenaria, 589 nucleotides. RefSeq lists it as uncharacterized. The record is from RefSeq and is a predicted model, not a curated record. NCBI's taxonomy places the organism in Eukaryota, Metazoa, Mollusca, Bivalvia, Myida, Myidae. The transcript is spliced from 3 exons.
GCCAACCACUGUGGCAGCAAUAUAUGUCAAAACAACGCCAUAUGCGAAAAUACAGCCAAUGGGUACUUCUGCCUCUGUGCUGAGGGGUACUUCGGAAAAUACUGUCAAACGAGAUCCAAACACACAGCAUUUGUUUCAACAGAAAUGGCAAUCGCAAUCGGUAUUGGUGUUGUAUGUGCAUUCAUGCUAGGUGCUUGUAUAGGAGUGGUGGCUAUGUACAAACUGAAAACGAGCAAUACAGUCGGAAGUUGGAAGAAAGAUCGCGCCCCACCCGCUAAAGAACCGAAACUGAGAGAGCUACGUAUGCAAAAGAGGGAGAGCAAUACGUUGAGCCCACUAGGGUACUAGCGGCGAACCUGGAACCAACCUUCCUGACGACCGAAGAAAGCAGUACCGUUACUUCAUAUUCACUCAAAAGGAAGCUUUAAUGAAAUCGACAACUUUUAUUGAUAGUGAAAGAAUGUUGAACAUUCACUGUGUUUUGUGUUUGUUUUAUUUUGUGUAGUUUCUUUAAGUUGUUAUGGUCCUAGGUUGAAAAAAGCUAGAUCUUUCAUGCACUCAAAAUAAAUUUAAAUGACAUGUUAGGUCA